GGGCCGUUAGCUCAAUCGGCAGAGCAGGGGACUUUUAAUCCCAAGGUUCCGGGUUCGACCCCCGGGCGGCCCACCA
RNAcentral lists this transfer RNA (76 nucleotides) under Dehalococcoidia bacterium. Its description in RNAcentral is "tRNA-Lys". It matches the Rfam family "tRNA". From Rfam's summary of the family: Transfer RNA (tRNA) molecules are approximately 80 nucleotides in length. Their secondary structure includes four short double-helical elements and three loops (D, anti-codon, and T loops). The record is from RNAcentral. Lineage: Bacteria; Bacillati; Chloroflexota; Dehalococcoidia.